Molecule: unclassified non-coding RNA, 470 nt
Filed under: Fusarium oxysporum f. sp. phaseoli
Lineage: Eukaryota; Fungi; Ascomycota; Sordariomycetes; Hypocreales; Nectriaceae
Description: partial contains ITS1, 5.8S rRNA and ITS2
Rfam family: 5.8S ribosomal RNA (bases 116-269)
Source: RNAcentral
ACCACUUGUUGCCUCGGCGGAUCAGCCCGCUCCCGGUAAAACGGGACGGCCCGCCAGAGGACCCCUAAACUCUGUUUCUAUAUGUAACUUCUGAGUAAAACCAUAAAUAAAUCAAAACUUUCAACAACGGAUCUCUUGGUUCUGGCAUCGAUGAAGAACGCAGCAAAAUGCGAUAAGUAAUGUGAAUUGCAGAAUUCAGUGAAUCAUCGAAUCUUUGAACGCACAUUGCGCCCGCCAGUAUUCUGGCGGGCAUGCCUGUUCGAGCGUCAUUUCAACCCUCAAGCACAGCUUGGUGUUGGGACUCGCGUUAAUUCGCGUUCCUCAAAUUGAUUGGCGGUCACGUCGAGCUUCCAUAGCGUAGUAGUAAAACCCUCGUUACUGGUAAUCGUCGCGGCCACGCCGUUAAACCCCAACUUCUGAAUGUUGACCUCGGAUCAGGUAGGAAUACCCGCUGAACUUAAGCAUAUCAA